UACGGAGGGUGCAAGCGUUAGUCGGAAUUACUGGGCGUAAAGGGUGCGUAGGCGGGUGAGCAAGUCACAUGUGAAAUUCCGGGGCUCAACCUCGGAGCUGCAUGUGAAACUGCUCAUCUAGUGGAAUGGCGGAGAAAAUGGAAUUCCAUGUGUAGCGGUGAAAUGCGUAGAUAUAUGGAAGAACACCUGUGGCGAAAGCGGUUUUCUAGCCUACUCCAGACGCUGAGGCACGAAAGCAAGGGGAUCAAACAGG
Molecule: ribosomal RNA, 253 nt
Filed under: uncultured bacterium
Lineage: Bacteria
Description: partial 16S ribosomal RNA
Rfam family: Bacterial small subunit ribosomal RNA
Source: RNAcentral